This 56-nucleotide ribosomal RNA is filed under the name Peptostreptococcus sp. The record is from RNAcentral. Lineage: Bacteria; Bacillati; Bacillota; Clostridia; Peptostreptococcales; Peptostreptococcaceae.
UGUGGUUACUAUAGCAAGGAGGAUACACCUGUUCCCAUUCCGAACACAGAAGUUAA